Callithrix jacchus (white-tufted-ear marmoset) is the source of this 28209-nucleotide non-coding RNA. The record is from RefSeq and is a predicted model, not a curated record. Lineage: Eukaryota; Metazoa; Chordata; Mammalia; Primates; Cebidae.
ACUUUCCUGAUAAUUAUCGUUUUGCUUCGUGAUAAAGACAGAUCUCACGUUCAUCAGCAGCACCUCACAUUUAAUUGCUUUACUAUCUAAAAACCUAGUGACCACCUAUUAAGAGUAUAACUGAAUUCUCAGCAAGGCAUACAAGAGUCCCAGCUCCUAACGAUAUUCAACAGGUGAAUAUAACUUCUCUUUUCAUAAAACGACCAAUUACUUUAUUUUCAAUUUGCAUGUUUACCUAACUUCUUCCAGAAGCAGGAUAUUAUGUAUCCUCUUAGCGUAUGUUUUAUAAUGAUCCUGUUACAUCAGAUUUUCUGUUGAUGAGUGCCACGAAAGUGAGAUCGUUGAUGAGGAUUGAUCUUACAUUUGUGUGUUUUUGAUACUUGCCACAGCAUUUAUUUUCUAGAACAUUUCUACAGUCUGUACUUGCCAGUGUCUGAUCACAUGCAGACAGUGGGUACUUCCAGGGCGUGCUGAGGCAUUCUUACUGAUACAAACUGAUGCCUUCUGUUUGAUACAAGGAGUCCCUAUGCUGGUUCAGUUCUUUCAGUUAUGCAUCAUCUCUCUCUUCUGCUUCCUUUUUAUGUUCUUGAGGUUGUUUAUUUAUUUGGCUGUUUAUUUGUCCGUUACUUCAUCCUCAUCCAGAUUUCUUACAAACUUCAUCCAUUCAGGUCUACUACGCAGCUAGCUUUCCUUUAUCACCAAACCAGAUCAUUUAUUCUAUCUUUCCAAAAUCAUGGGUGUUAGUUUCAGUGCUUUUUAAAAUUUCACCUCAUAUAUUUAAAAAAAAAGUGUAUUGUGGAAUGUUUAGAAUGUUACACAUACCUGUCUCUAAAUAAAAGAACAUAUAUAGCACACUAAUUAUGAAACAUAGCUAUCAAAUGAAUAGUCAUGAAUUCACCAUCUGGUUUAAGAAUUGUAGUAUCUACCUGUUUAUUCCUUCCUGAUCUCAAGCUCUAUACCUCCCCCUCACUUCAAAUAUCCUUUGAACCUUUUAAAAAAAUUUUUUCUUUUGGUUUUUUGGUAUUUGGGGGUUUUUUUGGUAAGAAUUUUAUUACAAACAUUCAUAGAGUAUGUAUUGUUAGUUUUAUUUAGUUUUUAGCUUUACAGAAAUGUAUUAUAUUUGGAAUGACUAAUUUAUCAUCCAAGUUGAGACACUUCUGUGCAUGCAAAGGGCUUCUGUUAACAAUUACAGUAGGACAGCAGCAUAAACCAGAAGGUCCUGGGCAGAUCAGGUAAUGUGGUCACCCCACUCAUAGUGUAUGCUACAGUGUGCUUUUGUAAACUAAACGUUAUGUUUCUAAGAUUCAUCUGUGAUUUGUUCAGUGCAUUUUGAUUAAGGCAUUUUGAUGUUACCUUUCUUUCAAAAAUAUUUGUCCUCAUAGUGGUUAUAAUAAAACCUGGACUUAUUUGCUGCUUUUGACUUUUUAAAGCUAUGAAUUCUCUAUAGUCCAGAAUUUUAAAGACAGUUUUUGAUGUUGAGAUGGUUUGUAAGGUGUCACCUACCUAAAUGUUGGAAAGUUAUAUGUAAAACUGCAUUACUCAAAGAGCUCACUCUUUCAUUCUAAAUCGAGUCAAAAGGGCUUUGUGUAAAAACCUAAAUGAAAACUUUCUUGAGGUAUAAAGAUAUGAUCAUUUAAAAUUUUAAAUUCCUGACAUGAGUAGUUAACUAUCUGAAGAUUGUCAUACAUGUCUGCAUUUCAAAUGGGGAUUUCUAAACUUAUAUUUUCAUGGUUUGGAUUUUGAUGCGAUAAAGAACAUAAAAGUGAACAUAAGAGCUCACUUUGGGCAUGUGAUCCUGGGUAUGGUAUCAUAUAUUAAAUUAUAUAGUAUUUUACAGAGAAGGUAGCUCAGCAAAUUUAACUGGCCUCAGAGUCUGUGGUUUAGUUGGUUUGCACAGAGUAAAAGCUGGUAAGUGGGCUAGACACUGUCACAAAGGAUGCCCAUCCUUUUUUAUUUUUUAAUUUAGUUUAAUUUUUAUUAUACUUUAAGUUCUGGGGUACAUGUGCAAAACGUGCAGAUUUGUUACAUAGGUAUACACGUGCUAUGGUGGUUUGCUGCAUCCAUCCCCCUGUCAUCUGCAUUAGUAUUUCUCCUAAUUCUAUCCCUCCCCUACCCCUCCCACUCCCUGCUAUCCCUCCCCUAGCUCUUCACCACCCCCAACAGGCCCCGGUGUGUGAUAUUCCCUUCCCUAUGUCCAUGUGUUCUCAUUGUUCAACACCCACUUAUGAGUGAGAACAUGUGGUGUUUGGUUUUCUGUUUUUGUGUCAGUUUGCUGAGAAUGAUGGUUUCCAGCUUCAUCCAUGUCCCUGCACAGGACAUGAACUCAUCCUUUUUUAUGGCUGCAUAGUAUUCCAUGGUAUAUAUAUGCCAUAUUUCCUUUAUUCAGUCUAUCAUUGAUGAAGGAUGGUCAUUCUUCACAGUAACUGCAGAUGCCUGCGGGCAGAGAGGACAAGGACCUUACUACCAUUUCUCCCUGCUAACUCCUUUUUUAAUAGAAAACUUUCCACUUUCUUGGAUAUGUCAUUUAAAGUGUUUAGUUUGUUUUUUAAACUUGUGUCAGAAACGCUAACCGCCAUAUUGCUUCACUGUUCUUUUACAAGUCAGCCCCUCGGUAGCCAACAUCUAUAUGGUGCUUGGUAAAGCUUGUCGAUGAAAUUUAGUACCGGGAAGAAAUUAGGCAGCAAAAGCUCCGCCUGUUUUUGGUAGCAUAUUCUUCAAGUAAAUUCUUAACUGUCUUUGAUAAGUGUGAAGCUACGUGGGAUCAGAUUAUAUAAAUAUGACAAAUGAACAUUUCUUAGUGUAUUCUCCAUGGAGUCGCCUCUUAAAAAAUCUGAUAAGCAAUUUGGGCAUUCACCUUUCUCCCAAGUGGAAUUACAAACAUUUGAACUGGGUGGACUUUCAUAAUUUUCUGAUACUAGCCACAUAGCCUUGAAGAAGCUUCUAAGCCUUUCCGUGCCUCAGUUUCUGCAUCUGUAUGGAUGAUAACCCCACCUCAUAGGGGAAAUGCGAAGAUUAAAUGUGUCACUGCACAUGAGAUAGAUACAUGGCGAGCACUCAGUGCUUGCUGAUUCUUAAAAUUGUUAGGUUCUCCAUUAUGGGUCUUAUUCAAACUGAGACCUGGGUGCCUGUCUGUGACAAUUACUGUCCAGAGCGGUACAGCUGAUUUAGGCAGCAGGUCUUCUGGUUCUUAAGCCAGUGGUGUUUUUACACAAUUCAGAAGACAUGUAUGUUCCCAGUGGUGACCUGCUGUGUUUGCGGAGGUAGUUCAGUAGGACUGCUAGAGCUAGCCACGAAAGCAUAAUGCAUUUUCACAAAGUUGAACUCAGUUCUUUCUUCUAGGGAAAAAAAAAAAGGUCCAUGCUGCUCUUCUUGGGGGUUGGGCCUGGGAAGGUUAAGAUGAAGACCAGAAAAUAAGAGAGAAAUGACUGUACCCCAGAGAUUAACGGAAUUCUUACUGGUGUCUCCACACAUGAAAAUUUGAGCUGGACACUUCAACGCGCUUCACUCAGAUCCUAGGCAAACUGGUUUAUGCUAGAUAGCCUGCCUGCUACGCAGAGAAGUUAACAAUGGGCGCAGUAUAAACUCCUGGAUGAUUUUCCCUCUUUUUGCCUAAAUGGAGGCCAACUGUGAGCAGCUCUUUUUGCUCAGUGGCCCCCGCCAGGGCUCCUGUACACACUUCAACAGGUUGCUCAUUGCACAGGAUCUGAAUGGGGUUGACCUGCCCUCUGUGGGAAGGGGCACCAUUUUCUCAUUCAUGCAGAGGAGCCAGGUUACUCUCAGCAACCUUGUCCUAGACCUUGGGGGAAUAGUCCGUGGCUUGAGUCCAGGUAUUACCCAUUUCUCUUCUGUCUGUUCCCACAGCUAAGCCUAGGGGCACUCACAUAUCAGUUUUUUUUGAUAACUGUUCAUCAAACAUUUUAUAUGCAGCUGUUUUAAUGGAAUUUGCUCAAAACUCAUCACAGGUUUUUGUUGGAGAAAAAAACGAUCAUCUUCUAUUUCCAUUUCUUUCCACCUAGGCACCCUGUCCUGUUUAAUUUUUUAAAUCAUUUCCCUGAGAUUCAUAUCCUUAUUCUCUGAGAAAUAUUAAAUAUAUUGAGUUAUCUGACUUGGAUUAUAUUAUGUAUUUCUGUGAACUUGGUCAUAGGUAAUAAAACCACAUUUUGGAGUCGAUCAUAGUGUUGGUCUUUGCUUUUUGUUUUAUAUUUACUGUUACCUAAAUCCAAAUACACCUUCCUUUAGAGAAUAAUUAGGCCCAUUUCCCUCCUCCUUUUCCCAUAUUUAAAUUGCGUGGAUCUAUACAUUAGAUCCCAGGCUCAUACACAGUCCACCUUCCUUUAGAGAAUAAUUAGGCCCAUUUCCCUCCUCCUUUUCCCAUAUUUAAAUUAUGUGGAUCUAUACAUUAGAUCCCAGACUCAUACACAGUCCACCUUCCUCUGGUUCUGAGUCUGCCAGUGAACUGCGCAUGUCAUGCAGAGAUGGCAUGCUCUCCCAGGCAUGAUACUCAAACUGUUGAGUAUCUGUUAGGAAUUUCCCUUUAUUUUUAUACAUGUAGCCUUUUGUUUUCUUCCUCUCCCCUUCCUUCCUCUCAUUCCCCGCACUGACUUGUGUCUGACCCCUCUUCUCUCCUGUUACCUCCUGCUGUAUCUCGCCACCUCCUCUUCAUGUCUCACAGACUGGCUCUUUCAAUCACUGUCUCUCUAACAAGUCAUUGUAAAAUGUGCAGCUGUUAUGUAGCUGAUAGCUGGGAUGAAGUGAAGCCAAAAUGUUGCAGGGGGUUCUUCCUGAUGUUGCUCUCCUAGGAUUUGUUGAAAAAGAACAAUCAUUUUUCUCCGUCUCUACCCUGCUAAAUGUAAUUGACAGCUAAUGAGAAGUAUCACAGAGGUAGAUACACAAACCCCAGUAAAGCAUCCCAAAUGGCUGAUGGUGUUUCUUGCCUGUUAAAAUGUUCCUCCACCCACUGCAGAUUUGCCCUCCUACCUUGCUGCCUCACAAACAUUGUGAGUGUCAUGGGAACCACUGCUAUGAUACCCUGGUACCACACUGCCCUGCCGCACCCCUGACCCAGCAGGGCUCUACCACAUGCAUUCUUUGGAGAAGCAGGAUGGAGGUUUUUUAUGUUAGGUAGCCACAUGGAUUGUCUCUUUUUGCUUGCACAUUCUUUUUGUUUGCAGUUCCAGCGUCGCAACUCUCUAUAGUUAGAAGGUAAAGAAUUCAGACCUGCUUAUUGAACCUAAACAAGCAUUUAGAGCAGUAACACAGACGCUGUAUAGUUCCCUCCACAGCCAUUAUAAAUUUCCUCGUUUGUUACUUAUUCUCUCUCUCCUUCAUACUGAUGUAUUUAUAUUUAGAGACAGAAAUGAAAUAGCUCCAUCUCUGUAAUAGGCAGUGUGUAUUCAUAUAGUGUAUAUUUAAAUUAAGCAGAUGUAAUGUCAGGUACAGUUAAUUCUGAAAUGUGUGACAUUGGACGUUAUGCUGGUAUUUCAGUAAAUGAUCCCAUCACGUUGCACUUAGGCUGCUUCUUGGGUUACGUCCCAGCGUUUUUCACUUUGCUGUAAGGAGGACUGCCGGGUUUUGGACGUACUGAACAGGUCUUCAGUCUUACACUGGGCCUGAUUGCCCCUAAUGCAUGGUGGAAGCUGACUCAGCACAGCAUCCGAAUGCACUGCUGUUGCCAGAAAAUUCUGCGGAUGUUAAUUUCACUCAUCUUGCCUCCAGAGCCCGCCAUUCCAGUUUACUAACAAAGCAAAAUGUAAAUAAGCCAAACUUUAAAAUUUUUUAUUUUAUUGGCCAAAGGCUUGUGUCAGCUUUUCCUCCGUGUGCUGUGAGCAGCGACAGUGUUUAAAUGUUGAAGAGAGGGAGCACGCCAUCGGGGUGAGGAAUGGACAGGUAGGUGUUAACUGUUCAUAGCCUGGCUGGCACUCUUGUUUAUAAAACUCAGUUCAUCUGUUUUAUUAAUGAAGAUCUAAGGGCAGUAACUGAAAAUUCCUGAAUAGACUUUUCCCCAUUCUUUUUUUUGGCAUUAGGCAUUUGGCAUUUGUGCCAAGUCCAUUGUAAGUAGAGUUAAGUCGCUUUGAUCUGGCAGUAGAAGGCCACUGAUCAUAAGAGAUUAGGAUCAAAAAUACAAAAUUAGGUCUUCAUGCUAGCACAUAAUGAGUAGCUGUUUGUAUCAUGGCUAUUGUUCUUCUUGCCUGGUACUAGGUGAGACUAAUCAAAGGCAACCUCAUCCUAGCUAUCGUAGAAACAAACAAAAUGGAGUUGCAUCAGAUAAGAAAGUAGAGCCCCCUUUAUUUUUCAUUUCAUGCUUUGCUGUUUGGAGCCACUCGCCUGCCACCUGGCUUCUCAGCAGACUGCCCGCUGGCUGGCUGGGCGUGAGGCAUGGGUCAAGGCAGCUUCAGAGCUCAGACUGUGAAGCCAGGAGGCCUGGGUUGGGAGGAAUGUCACUCACCUUCCAGGAGCCGCCUUCCCAGCGCCCGUCUUUUUGUACUGAUACCUCCCCUCGCCUACUCCCUCUCCAGUCCACUGCACUCCCCACUAUCCCCGUGAUCACCUCUGCAUGGGUCCCUCCCGCUGGGGUGGCUGCCUCCAGGAGCCCCACAACAGUGCACAGCAUGUGGUACCCCGCACCCCUCUGCUAAUGUGAGCUCCUACCCAGUGAAUAACUUCAGUCUCUGUCCUUUGAAAAGGAUGACAGGUGUGUCGAGCCCCACGAAGUGGGUUGGCCAGAGCCCAUCCUCCUACUCCACAAAGCUCCAGCUCCUUCAUAGUGAGCCUGAUCUCCGCCUCUUUAUCCCGGCCAUUCCUAGAUGGUGAGAGAUGUAUCCAGCAUACCAACCAGCCGUGAUGAAUCUGUGCACCUCAGGAAAAGCUCAGACACAAAAAGCAUGAGUUCUAGAAAGGGCGCCCCAUGUUCGAUUAAAUAUGGAAAAGAACUCUUUGGAAGCACAGGGUGUAUUUAGAGCUCUUCUGUGUAAGCGCUCACCCAGUCCUACCCCUUCAGCACGUAGAUUUCUCUACAAGCCGAUAUAGCUGCAGAUACAAACAAGAAGAUAUUCUGGUCAAAAAACUAAUUUUCUUACUUAAUUUGACAUUCAAACAAGAAGAAUCUGGAAGGAUGCUAUAAUGGGAAAGAGAAAAAUGAAUCUCAGUGAGGACUUAGUCAUAGGCCAGAGUGAACAGGAAGGAUUCCAGUGAGAGGAAAUGAAAGCUCCUGGUCUAAUUUGUCAAGAUUAGUACCUAUCAGAUGAACGACAGAGGAUGCAAACCAGCGUCUCUUUCGUUUCACCCGUUUUCCCUGGAGUUUUAGCUCUCUUAGGGCUCAAGCCCAUCCUAAGUAAAUAAACUUUCUACUUUUUAAUGUGGCCUUAAUAAAACUCUGGGUAAAAAGCAUGAGUUUAUUUCUCUGUGUAAAUGGCUCUUAGCCAGUGUCCAUUCAUAACGUUAGCAGUAGACCCUCUAAAAUGGCAUUUCGCAUACUGACAGACAUUUUUUAUUUCAAAGUCUGCAUAAUCACCUUACCUAAUAAUCUUAUUUUAAAAUAACUGUCAAAUGUUCUUUUUGGCUUCUCUGGAGGUGGAAAUCCUGCAACAGCUUGUUGCAAGGAAGAUGCAUGCUGCUUAUUGGCAAGCUGAGAAGGAAAAAAAAAAUUAACACAAAAUGCCGUUGAUAUAUCCAUGUUUUUAAUCUGUGGCAGCACAGAAAACCAAUUCAGCAGUUCUACAAAGCAAAGAGAACUUAACGCCAGUCUUUUUUUCUCCCUGACAAAGUAAAAUAUUUGGGUGUUAUGCAAAACUAUUUCCAUUCCCUUCCAAAUGCUGCCUAGCAAUAGUUAAGAAAGCAAAUUGACUAUUUUGUCUUUUUGAGAGGUGGGGUUGCAUCUCCAUAUGGCUUAGUUAUUGAUGGUAUGAUACAGAACCUCCCACUUUAAGAUAAUGGCUUUAAAAUUCAGGCCAAGAUCCUGGUUAUGGACACUCAGCAAGUCCAUGGAUCAUGAGUAUUGUCAGUGCUGUUUGUAAAGACCAGAUUCCUCAUUGCUGUUUGGCCGCCAGGGCCUUGCAUUUGAAGAACCGCCCCAUUGUUCUGAGCUACUCUUUUCCUUCAGACAUCACUCCAGAAAAAAUGCAUAGUACUAGAGUCAAGAUGCCCCUAAAGUUGAUUUCACAGACUUCUGGUAUAUCACCGUGUUUCCAAAUCAGGUAUUCUGAUAGAUGGGGAAUGAGUAUCCUUUUUUCAGCAGCAAAAAUCUUUUCAAUCUUUCAUUCCAACAAACUACAAAUUAAUUAAGCCUUUCCCCCUUUUUUCUCCCACAUUCAGCAAUACUGGCCAGGCAUGGUGGCUCACGCCUGUAGUCCCAGCACUUUGGAAGUCCGAGGCAGGCAGAUCACGAGGUCAUGAGAUCAAGACCAGCCUGGCCUACAUGGUGGAACCCCAUCUCUACUAAAAAUACAAAAAAAUUAGCUGGGUGUGGUGACAUGCACCUGUAGUCCCAGCUACCCAGGAGGCUGAGGCAGGAGAAUUGCUUGAACCCAGGAGACGGAGGUUGCAGUGAGCCGAGAUCAUGCCACUGCACUUCAGCCUGGCGCCUGGCGAUGAAGCAAAACUCUGUCUCAAAAAAAAAAAACUAGAAAUUUCUCCAAAUACACACUUAGUUUUGCUCCCUCUCUUAAUUAAAAAAAAGUUGGGUAAUUCAGUUUAAAUUCUCCGAUUCAUAUCUAUUCCUUUUCUCUAUUCUUCUGUAUAUGAAAAUACAAGAAAGCCUGUGUCACCAAGGCAAUAUUAUGUGCCUUUCUCUUGCUCAGCAAUCUCAGCCAUGACUCAUGUGUUUUCAUGGUUGGUCUGAUGGUCCACUCCCACUUCUCCAUGACUUUUUUGCAUUGUUCACUGGAGAAGCACUUCAGACACCUUGUUCUCUGUUUUCACUCCUGAGCGGAGUAGGCUGUCCCUGCUCUGAACCUGUGCUCAGCUGAGUGUCACUGUGUCUGGACUCUGCUUGUGCUGCCUCUGCAGAAAUGCUGUUGGCAUUGACCUGCUGCCUUCGGCCUUCACUGAGGAGGAGGAUGCAGAAUGGAGGGGUACCAAAGCUUUUAUGAACUAAUUUUAGCCUAGAAGUAAAAAGUUUCAAAAAUCACUUGAGUACAUUUUGGGAAAUGGUGGUAAAACGCAUAGUAUUUUGGAGUCAAGAUGCCCCUAAAGUUGAUUUCACAAACUUCUGGUAUAUCACCAUGUUUCCUAAAAGAGAAUAAGUAGCAAUUGUAGAAGGAACAAAACCAUUUUAUAGAGAGUGUUAGGCUUCUUUCCAAUCUCCUGAUAACCCUGGAGCCAGGAUUAUUAUGAUGUGUUGAUUGAUUAUAGCCGUUAAGGCUCUUACCAGUCAGUUUCUUCGCUUAUUCUCAAUUCACACACUUGCACCUUUGAUUUCUCUUCCAUAACAGGGUGAUAUGGGUUGUCACUGACUAAUGAAGAACAGAAUUGGUUUCGGCAUCAGACAAACGGAAUGCCCUCACCAAUCCUGAAAUGCAUUAAUCUUUCAUAAUCCACAUCUGCAUGUUUAUAAAUGAUAUAACCAGGAAUCGUUAAUGUUGAUAUUCUCCCUUCCAAACAGAAAGUGACAUAGGAGUUUGUACUUGCAAACUGCACUAAAUGCGUAAAACUGAAUGCCAAGAGCGUGACCUUGCUGAGGAUGCCAAAUAUAUUACUUCAUUUGAUGGUUUUAGGAAAGUAGCGUGUUGCACUUUGGCUGCUGGAUGCACCCUGUGGACACUAACUAGCUCAGUUGUUCAUUUCCCUUCCUUUCUUAUUUUAUUAUCCUCUUCUGUCAUGAAGAGGCACUGAGUGUAUGUUAUGCUGCAGGCAUAGUAAGUGGGGUAAACGCACCGAACAUAAACUGCAAAAGGUCCUGUCCUCAUGAAACUUAAAUUCUAGUGGGAAAGACAGGAAAUACAUAAAUAACUGCAUACUUGAUUGUCAGGUAGUCGGGGAAAAAUCGAGUGACUUCUUUAGAUAGCAGUGGCUAGUUAGGGAAGAUGUCUCUCUUAGAAGUUGAUACUUCAACAAGAGAAGUGAAGGAAAAGCAGGGGCAAGCCAUGUGAGCAUCUGGGAAAGAACAUCCAGUCAGGGAAAGGAGCAAACUCAAAGGCCCUGAGUUAGUCUUGUGCUAAUGUGCCGGGCGGGGAACACCAGGAAGUCAGUGUAGCCGAAGCAUGGUGGUCAUGGGCGGUGGAGCAGAAAGGGUGGGCACUUAGAUUAGAGAGGAGCUAACGGCUUUGUAGGUUAUGAUUGUAAUUGAGGAGUUUAAGUGUGAUGUGAACCUUCUGGAAGGCUGGGAAGGCAGGGACAUGAUCCUGUUGAGGGUUUAGGAGGCUCACAGUGGCUGCUAAGUGGACAGGAUGCUGCAGGGGAAGGGGGAAGCAGGGACACCAGAGGCUCCUGCAGUAGCGGCAGGGAGGUUUGAUUGCCACUUGGUUGUACACAUGGCAGGGGUAGCAGCAGAAGGUGUUUGGCCGAAGGAAUUGCUAAAAUGGUGGUUCUGAAUAGAGGACAGAGGAACACGCUUUUGAUGGGGAAUCAAGAGUUUGGGUUAAACAUACUGUAUUUGAGAUUCCCACUGGGCAUCCUAAGGGAGAUUUUGAAUGGACUCAGGUAGGAUUUUGGUGGGAAAAAUAAGUUUGUGAGGCAUUAGGGUUCAGGACGAGGUCCCCUGGGCACCCAGCCUGCCUCAGGGUCACUUGGGGGGCUUGUGAUUCAGUAGUUGUGGGGUGGAGCCCGGAAACUUGCAUUUCCAAUAAUUUCUAGCUCUGCUGAAGCUACUGGUCUGGGAAGUCCUGACCUAGAGAGUGAGUGAAGGUCAGCGGACAGCAGCACAUGCCACACAGCACACCUGGGAAAGCCCGAUGCCAGCCCAGCCCCAGAGAUGCUGACCUCAUUGGUCUGACGCACGGUAUUUCGUCAGUACUUUUUUAAAGCUCUCCAGGUGGUGAUUAUGUGCAGCCAAGGCUGAGGAUCACUGCGAGAAGAAUUCUUUUUUUUUUUGAGACGGAGUUUCGCUCUUGUUACCCAGGCUGGAGUGCAAUGGCGCGAUCUCGGCUCACCGCAACCUCCGCCUCCUGAGUUCAGGCAAUUCUCCUGCCUCAGCCUCCCGAGUAGCUGGGAUUACAGGCACGCGCCACCACGCCCAGCUAAUGUUUUGUAUUUUUAGUAGAGACGGGGUUUCACCAUGUUGACCAGGAUGGUCUCGAUUUCUUGACCUCGUGAUUCACCUGCCUCGGCCUCCCAAAGUGCUGGGAUUACAGGCGUGAGCCACCGCGCCCGGCUGUGAGAAGAAUUCUGAGACAACCUCGGGGUACCCCAAAAUGUAGAGACUGUAAAAGAGAAAUGGAAGAAGAAAUGUUUUCUAGAAUAUGGAAGAGAGCACCUGUGUCCAAGGCAGCUUCGCACUUGCUCAGCGUUCCAGAAGGAGCUUGGUUUCCAGUUAUGGGCACAUCUAUUUCUCACAGAAACGUUUAAGGAUAAAUAACUCAUUUUUUAAGGCGGCAUAGUGCCGGGUGUUUUGUUUUUCUUUUCUUUUUUUUUUUUUUCCUGACCUUUCUAGAACUAGAUUUGGUUCAGUCGAAAGUAAUAUUACAGAAAAAAUUAUUGUGCAAAAUUACUGUUGUAUUCUCAUGUCCAAUUCAGCUACCAGUGGACUCCCUCCGUUCCCAGUUGUUCCUUUAAGUUCAUUUCGCGUGAAGUCUAAGGAUCAUGUCAUUUAAAUUCUAUUUGAGAAAAGGCAAAAAACAUAUCCUAUUUUAAAAGAACCAAACCCCAGUGUAUAUAUAUUUUUGCUGCUUGUUUGUUUUUAAUUUGGCCUUGUUGCUUUUUCUUAGAAGCAGCUGGAAGAACUAGUUCAGAAUUCCCUGUUUCUAUACCACUAACCAGAUCUUUGCCCCUAGAGCUGCAUAAAAGAAUAAUGUUAUCUAUCCUUUCUGCCUGGAAUGUCCAUCCCACCCUUUAUGCAGCCCAGCAAACUCCUACUUAUGCAUCAAGACCCCACUAAACAGCCUUUCCCUUCAGGAAGUCCUUGCUGAACCCUGCAGCCCUGGAGUUCAGCUCUCCCUCGGGCUGCCCCAGCUGCCUGAGCCCUUGGCGGGGCUCUCUUCUUUUUGUCCCCAGUGCCAAGAACAUUGCCUGACAAGUAGCGCUGUUCAGUACACGUGGGCCAAAUUAAAGAGCUCACAGUUCUCUUAGAAAAACGGAAAUUCAAGAGAAAAGAGUUUGGAAAUUGGUGACUUACGUAUCCUUUCUCCUGUGGGCUCGGAGCCGUGUUUCCGCCUUUGCAUUUCACCCUCUAUGGGAUCAUCCUUUUUUCCUCCGUCCUGAAAGCGACUUCAUUGCGGCAGAUGCCUUUCACAAGUGCGCUUGCCAAAUAUUGAGUCCAAUCUGAAGGAGCGAUGAAGAAUACUUGAGGUCGUGCUCGAGAACCUUCCUCUCCACAUUGCUGCAAUCAGAGGUUCUGUGGCCUGAGCCCUCCUGUCCCCUGGCAGAGCUUUGCCAUGCCCGGGCUGGCACUGCUUCUGUCAGUUUACUCCUGAGCUGCAGGUCCCUGAGGGUGUCCGCUGCCUCCUGCCUGGGCCCUGUAGUUUUAGCCUCGUGCUGGAGAGAUCUGCUCUCCCCAACCCCCAGCAACCUCCCAAGCCCAGCACUGUUAAAAAGGAGUUUGGUUAUUGAUUAAUCCGGGUUUCAUUGUGCAACUAACUCUUCUUCUCUUGAAAAAGCACUUAUUUACCCAAAUGUAUUAAUAUGUCAUGCUGUGAAUUGUCAUAUCGAAGCAAGUUAAGCAGGUGCUGAUUUCUGUUAAAUAUACGUUACGAAGUGCUGAUUUAUACCCCUUAGAUCCUGGAGAUUUCACUCAGAAGCCUUGGGUUGUUUUUGGGUUUUGUUUUAAGUUUUUCAGAAUGGUGCUUUUAGCUGUCUGCUUCUUUACUUUUAAUGUAGUUUUAUACCAAGGAUCUUAAGUUUUAUCAUGAAAACAAGCUGUCAUUACUUAGUGUAAUCACAAAUGCAAUGAAUUUUUAAACUCUUUAAAAAAAGUGCAUUAUUUUAGUACAUAAAUGGACACUUAAUUCUAUAUCUAAAUGGAAAAUUUACAGAAACCAUGCCACCUAUAUAUAGUACCAGUGUUUUAUCUGUUGGUCUCAGUGUUAUACAUUCUGUGUUAUUCUCCUCAGAUUCCAAUAUUCAGUUCCCAAACUCUGUAUUUUUCCCUCUGCCUUCUCACAUCCAGAAGCAGCGUAAAGAUGCCUGUUGACUGGCCACGUGUGCCACUACCUUUUGGUCUGGAAAACACGGUCCCUCAUACCUGCAGGGCAUAGCAAGUGCUCACAUGACAUAUUCUCUUUUAGAUGCAAAACGACUCCAAGGGGGUGAGCAUCCGCGUGUGGCACUUUUCGUAGCCAGCCACCCAUGUUUACAGGCAGAGUUGUCACGAAGUGUUGCAACCCAGAAUGAGGAAUUGGUGACAAGAGAGGAUGGAGGCGAGUGAAACUUUUAUUAAAGGCAAGUGCCUUGGCUUGAAAAAGGCCUGUCUCUAUCCGGCAGCAUAGAGCAGCCAUCAAGUGGAAGAAAGGGAGCAGGCAGGCGCCUCGGCUAAUCUUUCUCCUGGGGUCCCAGGUGGACAAAUUGGCAACCCCGUUCACAGCUUUUUUUCUUCACCCCUUUGUAUCAUAAGAACUGCUAAUCGGAUCCAUGCUGCUGCAACUGUGGUUAGUUAUUAGCAGAAUAAAAGCAGAUUUCUUCAAAAGAACGGGUGGGGGAAACGACUAUACAAAAUUGCAAGGUUGUUAGAAUCUUAAAUGCACAGCAGUCGAUUUUUCCCCUUACUCUGAAUUAGACGAUGAAUACAAGUCUUUCAUCUGUCACUAUACCCAUUUCUUCAGAAGGCAGCCAAAUAUUAAGCUUCUCAAACAAAAAAGGAAUCUUAGAAAGAGGAAAAAUAUUGAAGAGGAAUAAGAAUGGGUAAGAGAAGGGAAAAAUUGGGUUUUGUUUUUAUUAAUUUGCCCUGGUGAGAAAAAUAGAAACCGCCCGCUCUACCCGGUGUUGCCCCCUGCCUCUUACCUUACAUCAAAGCGCGGAUUAGAGAGAAUAGAGCUGGUGGCUGUUGCAUUUUAUGACUGGUGUUCUGCCUGAGGAAAGUUCAGAACCUACCUCUUUGCUUACAGAUAGCAGAGCGCUAUGGAUCUGGAUUUCCUGGGGAAGGCCAGGCUGGCUCUGCCAUACCCAGUGUGCACAGUAGACCUUUCCCUCCACAAGUGGGUUUUCCCAUGCCUGAUAGACCUGGGAGUUGUAUGCCUGAGCUUUAAAGCUAUUGCAGGGGGUGUUCGGAUGAGAAUGGCAGAUUUUCAGCGUGGUAGUUUAUAUACUUAAGCACACCAUGGACUUUCACAGCGGGUGCCUCCCGGAUCCUCAGGAUUCCCAAAGUGAAGCGCUUCCUGCUUUCAGCCAAGUCACAUCUUUGGUCAUCUUGCCUGUUUACUAUUUCUGUCUUCACACCUGAAGUUAACUGAAGUUGAGAAGCUUUCCUUAAAGUUCCCUCUUUUAUGUAAUGGCUGUUUUAUCCACGAAGAGGUAGUUUUUAUCUACCUCCCCAGAGUUGGUCCUUAGUGGCAUGGCAAGCACAGUGGGACCCAGGCUUAUGAGCUUAUGUCAGCUGCCACUCUGUGAGUCACACCUAAGUCAAAUCCAAGGCACACGAUAUUCCCACACCUUCCAGGUCACUUAGCAGUCAUCCAGACUUUUAUGGUCCGUUUUAAUAAGGAGAAUCCAGUAUAUGUAAAUCUUUUAUGACUCCAGUUUAUUUUUAUUUAUUUUUUUGUUUUGGAGAUGAAGUCUCGCUCCGUCACCCUACCUGGAGUGCAGCAGUGUGAUCUCAGCUCACUGCAACCUCCACCUCCUGGGUUUGAGUCUCCUGCCUCAGCCUCCCAAGUAGCAGGUUAACAGUUGCCCACCACCACGUUGUCACCAAGUGUUGGAACCCAGAAUGAGGAAUUUGUAGAGAUGGGGUUUCACCUUGUUGCCAGGCUGGUCUCAAACUCCUGACCUCAAGUGAUCUGCCUGCCUCAGCCUCCUAAAGUGCUAGGAUUACAGGCAUGAGCCAUUGUGCUGGGCCACCUCCAGUUUGUCUUUAAUCAAAGCUGUGGAGACUGAAAUAGUCAAGUCUAGAAGUCCAUGUGUCACUGUGUAUCCUCUGACUUAACUUGUCCUUUGCCUUGCCAGAGGCUUUUCAGUUUCUCUGCCCCAAGUUCUCUGUGGAAAGGAAUCUCCCCCAAAGGGAUCUCGUGGAUAUCAGUGAUCAGACUGUUAAACCAACUUCCAUGUGAAAAAUGUUAUGUAGUUUUAGUACAUUUAACUAAUAAAGGUUUGAAUGUAUUAUAGCAGGCUGAGUGAAUAACGUUCUGUAAGUUGGUCUUUAAGGGUUUUUAUGAGGGCAUAAUUCUUACGGAGACCGCCUCACAUCCACUUCUGUUUUCUACCUGUUAGCUGAUCGUCUUUUGUAGCUCUUCUAUCUUCAAAUCUAGCAGUGAGGUUUAGAGAAAGACUUGGAACCCUCAGACCACAGCAGGAAGAAGAGUUGAAAAGCUUAAUCCUGCAGAUUUUUGACAGUUUAUUAGUUUGUUUAGAAUAAAGGUAUAGGGCCCUGUAAACAGUACGUGGGAACCGUCUUGUUCUUUCAAGUUCAGGAAUUUUAAGUUUCCUCAUUCCCUUAAUGGCUCAGGAGUAUCCAAGCCAGAUAGCCUCUGAAGUGCCCAUUUGUCUGUAUUUUUAGGACCUAAUGUCACAUCAAUAGUUUGUAAUGGUUUGGAUAAGGAUUUAGGAGACUCUAGCCCGAUUUUGAAUGAACUUUUGAGCCAUAUGACAUGAAAAGUUUCUCUCUCAAGGCAGAGGCUCAACUCCUUAAAGGUGAGAACACUAGUCACUGUGGUUCUGUGCUCUCACUUGAAAGGUAGGGAAGGACAUUCCUUUCUGGUUUAUACUGCUCUAAUUGGAGAUAGGAUUUAUUCACAACAAAGAAUUGUGUUGACAGCCUGUCACAAAGAUCUUCCCCACCCCCUGCCCUAAUGUAGGACCUUUUGGUAAGGGUGAGAUGACCCUAUUAGAGACAGAGGCACACACCCCCAUGCUGAAAAGUAGGAAGUGUUAUAAGUUCACACUCGGGCACUUGAGAUAAACUGUUAACCCUAAGCACUAAGUGGGAGCCUGAGCCCAUUCUGUGUUUCAGUAGUUUGCCUGGAGCAUAUCGAAGUUGCUGUCAGUCAGCCUGCUUCUUCAUUCCGAGAAUAAGAGGGAUUUUUUCCGUUCUUAAAGCAAGUGAAAUAGAAAAUACUGAACACGAGGAUGCUAUGUCCUAAAUAACUUGUGGGUUUUCUAACUCAUCUAAAUAAUUGCCUAAGACCAGGACAUUUGAUCAAUGUAUGAAUUAUCAGAAAACAUAUUUUUCAUUUACGCCAUUAGGUAUUACACAGGUUUUUAAAGAAAUGACCCAUGAAAUCCUUGUGCUGUAUUGCAGAGCUGUACCAUCUUAUCACACUCCAGUUUCUCUCUUUCUUUUUCUUUUUUUCUUUUUUGAGAUGAUGUUUUGCACUUAUUGCCCAGGCUGGAGUGCAAUGACACGAUCUCGGCUCACUGCAACCUCUGUCUCCCGGGUUCAAGCGAUUCUCCUGCCUCAGCCUCCCAAAUAGCUGGGACUACAGGCAUGGGCCACCACGCCCAGCUAAUUUUGUAUUUUCAGUAGAGAUGGGGUUUCUCCAUGUUGGUUAGGCUGGUCUCGAACUCCUGACCUCAGGUGAUCUGCCUGCCAUGGCCUCCCAUAGUGCUGGGAUUACAGGCAUGAGCCACCGUGCCAGGCCCACACUCCAGUUUCUGACUAAGUUAGAUAAGAUGUACAGUGAUUUCCACAGAUAUGGAGUCUACCAUGCAACAACCAAUGCUUUUUUUUUUUAAUUGCAUUUUAGGUUUUGGGGUACAUGUGAAGAACUUGCAAGACUGCCAGUGCUGUCUCUUAACAAAAUUAUAUUGUCAUUUAUCAUGGUGGAAGGAAAGAUCCUGACCAGUUUUUCAUGUUUCAGAAAUUAAAAGAGCAGCUAAAUACAGCCCAUAGUAAGAAGUUAUAGUGUAAUUACUAGCGGGUUUGGCCGAAUGUAAGAAAUAUAUCCUCCAGAAGAUGGGUAAAGUCAGAUGGUGGCAGGUGAAAUCUGUAUGCCACUGUAAAGAUUUGAAAGAGAGCUGAUUUCCAUGAGGAUGGACUAGAAUAAAGCAACCCAGCAUCUAGUUGUGGAUGCAGCAGAAGUGCCUGUCAGGGAAGUACAGAAUGCACAUUACCGAAGUGGUGGUGUGGCAGUGCUUGGGUGCUGCAGUGUGUUCUUUACGUUUCUCACUAAAGUUAAUGACGCCACUAAGAAUUCUUGACCAGAAGAAGAAUAAUUCAAUUGCUAAUUGCUGGAAACUAUGAAAUACAUAUCGAUUUUGUAGCACCAUUCCUGGGAAGUAACUUGAUUAUGAUAGAGUUAUUUCAAAGUGGUUGGCAGCAUUCCUCAUUUCUUCUCAGAAUUCAGCAACAACCACAGCAGUUGAAUUCACAUGAACCUAAGAAUAGUAGGUCUUACCCUCGCAACUGUCAACAGAGUUUAUGAAGAGGACCCAAGCACUUGCCACUAAACACCUCGUGAUCCCCAUGUAUCCUAAGGAUCCUUAUUGAGGACAACUGGCCAACAAAAUUGUCCAGGUUUCCACAAUUAAACAUGUCUUUUCAUGUUAAUUAUAAAAAGCCAAUCUUGAAUUACUAAUGGAAGAAAAUCAUUUAGGACAUUGCGCUCUAUAUAGUGAGAUUUAUUUAUUUAUUUAUUUUACCUCAUUUUGUAUAUUCAAGCUAACCAUCUCCAAUUUACCUGCAAACUUGUAAGACAAAUAAAUGUGUAUUCUGGACAGUGUUCUCUCUUUAGCUCCUCCUUUAUUCGCUUUUGCCAAGAGUCAACUAGCAUAGGGAAAUUAGAAGGAUGGGAUGGAUUUUGGGCACUAAAACUGAAACCAAGUAGCGUCUGUCAUUCAGACUUCAGAUUUGCUAUCUUGACUAAUUAUGUCAAUAUUCCAUCUCAGAUUAACUAAAUCUGUCUUAGGUUAGUUGGCUUUUUAGCUGUCAUGAUGUGAAAGGAAGGAAUAAUUUUUCUCUGGCCACUACGACUUUUGAAAAAUGGAAUUUCUGAGUAUUUCUAAACCUAAUAACACAAUAUUAUUUGAAAAGGGUUGAAUGGUUUGUCAGAGUUGGUUGUGGUUCAGAGUCAGUGUUCUUGUUCUUUUUUUGGGGGGAGGGGGCGGAGUUUCGCUCUUGUUACCCAGGCUGGAGUGCAAUGGCAUGAUCCCGGCUCACCGCAAUUUCUGCCUGCUGGGUUCAGGCAAUUCUCCUGCCUCCGCCUCCUGAGUAGCUGGGAUUACAAGCACGUGCCACCAUGCCCAGCUAAUUUUUGUAUUUUUAGUAGAGACAGGGUUUCACUAUGUUGACCAGGGUGGUCUCAAUCUCUUGACCUCGUGAUCCACCUGCCUCGGCCUCCCAAAGUGCUGGGAUUACAGGCUUGAGCCACCAUGCCUGGCCCGUGUUCUUGUUCUUUUUGAGUUUCUAGAGUUAUAUUCUGUAGUAAUGUAGAAAGGAAUUAUCCCCAGGGAAUUUUAGCCUCAGUAAAGGAUUAAUGUGGGAAUCCUGUUCAUCUCAUGUUUAUUCUCUAUCAUCCCAGCACAGAAGUAGUAGCGUGUAAUUUAUGCAGUUGUAUCUGAUCAGCAGUUGAUCUGAUUUGUUGAUUUGUUUUGGUCUGAUCUGAAAGAGUUGGGAAAAUACUACAAGUAAUAAUUUACCUAAACAUGUACCUGCUAAGUGUACUUACCAUUUAAGUCUCAGAUCUGUGCUGUAUUGAGUACUAAGGAACCCAGUGCAUUCUUAGAUCUAGAUUGCAGAGAACAUAAACCAAGUUCUGUCACUAAUAUCUCUUUAUGAAGGCUUCCUCUUUAAAUACGGAAGAAUGUGAGGUUGAUAUGUCAGUGUUACUGUUAUUAAAUACUGCUUGAUGUUUAUUGGCUCUUUGAGCACGUAUUUCUGAAUGUUUCUUUACUGAUACUGUCAUUUAGAACAGGGAUCACAGACUACCACCAGAGGACCAAAUUCAGACAACCACCUGUUUUUGUAAAUAAAGUUUUAUUUAUGCUAUUUUGUUUUUGUAUUGGCCGUGUGUACUUUUGAACUACAACAGCCGAGGUGAGUAGAAAACAUAUGGCCUGUGAAAACUAAAAUAUAUACUAUCCAGCAGUUUACAGAAAAAGUUUGCCUAAUCCGGAUCUAGAAUAAUAAGAUAAAACUGCAUGAUCACAGAUGAGUUAUAUAAAGAUCUAAUUAUGUAUUAAUCUGAGCUUGGUUCCUGGAAUAAUCAGCCAUACAUUUUUUUUCAACAAAUACUUAUUGAAUGCUUACUAUAUGCCUGAUUCAAGAAAUAUAAUAUAGCAGGGAACCAAAGAGAUGGAAUUUUCUGUCCGUAUGGAAUGUACAUUGUAGUCAGAUGAGACAAACAAUAAGCUAAAUUAAAUUAAGAACUAUGGGGAAUGUAGGCCAGGCACAGUGGCUCACACCUGUAAUCCCAGCACUUUGGGAGGCUGAGGUGGGUGGAUCACAAGGUCAGGAGAUCGAGAUCAUCCUGGCCAACAUGGUGAAACCCCAUCUUUACUAAAAAUACAAAAAAAAUUAGCGAGGUGUGGUGGUGCAGGCCUGAAGUUCCAGCUGCUUGGGAGGCUGAGGCAGGAGAAUUGCUUGAACCCAGGAGGCGGAGAUUGCAGUGAGCCAAGAUUGCACCACUGCUACAACCUGGGCGACAGUGCAAGACUCCGUCUCAAAAAAAAAAAAAAAACCUAUGGGGAGUGUUAAUACUUGUUAAAAACUUAAAACUUGGCAGAGUGCCCCACCAUCUUGUUCUAUGAGAUAUGCUAAGCUCUAUGUCUCAGUCCACUGUACAUUAUACAUUACUGGAUGUGUGCUAAUUUACCAAAAUAUAUGUAUUAACCACUUUUCCCCAAUUCUGUUAUAUACUAAAAUCCCAAAAUUAUGUUACUUAAAUAUUUAGUUUGGUGAUUAUCUUGAUCUGUUCUUAAAAGCUAUUUUUAAUUCGAAAAAAUUCUCCCAGAACCUCUCCCUAGUGUAAGAUUCUAAAAAAAUAUUAGCAAACAGAAUCUAACAGAACAUUAAAAAAUAUACCCAAAGGAUUAUAAAUCAUUCUAUUGUAAAGGCACACGCACACGUGUGUUUAUUGUGGCACUGUUCACAAUAGCAAAGACUUGGAACCAACCCAAAUGCCCAUUAGUGAUAGACUGGAUAAAGAAAAUGUGGCACACGUACACCAUGGAAUACUCUUCAGCCAUAAAAAAGGAUGAGUUCAUGUCCUUUGCAGGGAUAUGGGUGAAACUAGAAACAUCAUUCUCAGCAAACUGACAUAAGAACAGAAAAUCAAACACCACAUGUUCUCUCUCAUAAGUGGGUGUUGAAUAACGAGAGCACACGGACACAUCAUGCACCAGGGCCUGUGGGGUAGGGGGCUAGGGGAGGAAUAGCAGGGGGUGGGGGAUUGGGGAGGGAUAGCAUUAGGAGAAAUACCUAAUGUGGAUGACGGGGCAAUGGAUGCAGCAAACCACCACCAUGGAACAUGUGUACCUAUGUAACAGACCUGCACGAUCUGCACAUGUACCCCAGAACUUAAAGUGUAAUAAAUAAGUCAAAAAAAAAAGAAAAUAGUGACCAUAAGUGGCAUUUAUUCUAGAAAUGCAAAGUUGGUUCAAUGUUAACAACUGUAUUAUUAAUAUAUACCAUAAACAUACAUCUGAUGGGGCGAAAUCUCCUCUUUAACAAAACACCCAGUUACGAUAAAAACACUCAAGGAAGUAGCAAUGGAGAGAUACACUCUCAACGUGGUAAAAUGUAUAUGCUUCAGUUUCAGUUAUGGAAUAGGGAAGCUCUAGAGGCAUUUCCACUAAGAUCACAAAUGAGGCAAGGAUCAUCACUAUCUCCACUACUGUUCAAUAAUGUACUACAGAUUUUAGCCGAUGUAGUUAGGCAAGAUAACUCAAUUAAAGGCAUAAGGAUGAGUAUAGGGGAAAUAAAACUGUCUAUUUACAGAUGAUAUAAUAGUAUGCCUGGAAAACCCCAGAGAAUCAAUGACAGAUUAGCAGUGAAAGAAUUCAUUUAAUGCAGUAUUAAGACAUAAAAUUAACAUACAGAAAGCAGUAGUCUUUCUAUACACAAUAAACAGUUAAAAGACACAUAAUGGUGAAGAGAAUCCCAUUUACAGUAGCAACAAGGAAGAUUACAUGCUUAGGAAGAAAAUGUGCAAACCCUGUAGGUACCUGAAAGAAACUAAAGACUUAAACCCAUGAAAGGCGCCUCUUGUUCUUGGGUAGGAUGAACUCAACAGUCAUGAGUUCUCCUUAAGUUAGGAUUUCAGUCCAAUUACAGUGAAAACAUUAGCCGUUCUAUGUGGUUGGACAAGUUGAUACUAAAGUUUAUAUAGAAAAACAUGCAAGAAAACUUAGAAAACACUGAAAAAGAACAGGUGAGGUGCACUAUUCUUACUGGACAUUAAAACACGGUAUAAAAGUACUAAAAGUAGUGUUUGCUGGUCAGUGGAAUAGAAAAGGAAGUCCAGACAGACCGAAUACAUGUGAAAAUGUAUUAAAUGACAAAGAUGAUAUCUCAAGUCACUGGGCUAAGAAUGGCUUUUUAAAUAAAUUGUGUUGGAAUAAUUAGGGAGCCAUGUGCAAAGAGAUGAAGUUAGAUCCGUCCUGACAUCAAGUAAACUGGAGGGAGAUGAAAAAAACCAUGCAUGUGCUCAAAGAAAAGUAGGGUGAAUUCCUCUUCAACCGUGGUGUAGAGAGAAGAGCUUCCUAGCUGUGACUCAAAAUCCAAAGGCAAUAAAAAUAAAGACUGUUAAAUUUGACUACAUUAAAAAAAAUUCCACACAAAAGACACACAAAAUUCCACUACAAAAGACACUAGCAAAACUAAAAGACAGCUGACAAAUUAGGAGAAGAUAUUCAUAACAUAUACCACGAAGGGCUACACUCUCUAAUAUAUAAAGAACGCUUCAGAAUUUUAGGGCAAACGAUUAAGAACCUAAACAGAAAAAUAGGAGAAAUACUUGAACAAAAAAUUCACAAAAAAAGAUAUUAAAAUAGCCCUCACACACAAAAAUGUAGUCAAACUCAGAAUCAGGGAAGUACAAAUUCAGAAAUUGCAGGCACUACUUCUUAUGUAAGACUAGUAAAAAAUUUUUUUAACAACAACACAUUCUGUUAGAUUAUGGAGAGACAGGCCCUUUAAACAUUGCUUGUAGCCAUAUAAAUUGGUACAAAGUUUCUGGAAGGAAAUUUGGUAAUUCAGGGAAUUUUCCCUGAAGAUAGACCCCAACAGUACAAAAAUAUAUCCACAAAAGAUUGGAAACUGUCUAAAUGCUCAUACACACAGGAGAGUGUUAAGUACACUAUGGAGCACUCACACAAAGGGGUGCUGGGAGCUGUUUUUAAUAUGGGGAAAUGUUGCAAACUGAUAGGAAGUACUUUCCAGGAUAGCAUGAAAAAGCAAAGCCCAAAAGAUAUGUAGGGGGUUGAAGCAGGAACCUGCAUCCAGGAACAGAGCCCUUUGCUCCUCCCUCAGAAUGAAUGGAGGGAGAUGUUUAUGCCCAAGAAAAGCAGGAUUUCGUUCAGCACUUCUCCCACAUUGAUAGGGUGCUGACUGAGGAUGAGACGGGGCACCCAGAGACAGGAGAUGCUAUUGCCCAGCUCAAAGAGGUCCUGGAGCACAACGCCAUUGGAGGCAAGUAUCACCGGGCUUUGACGGUGCUAGUAGCGCUCCGGGAGCUGAUGGAGCCAAGGAAACAGGAUGCUGAUAGUCUCCAGCGGGCCCUGACUAUGGGCUGGUGUGUGGAACUGCUGCAAGCUUUCUUCCUGGUGACAGAUGACAUCAUGGAUUCAUCCCUCACCCGCCGAGGACAGAUCUGCUGGUAUCAGAAGCCAGGCGUGGGUUUGGAUGCCAUCAAUGAUGCUAUCCUUCUGGAAGCAUGUAUAUACCGCCUGCUGAAUCUCUACUGCCAGGAGCAGCCCUUUUACCUGAACCUGAUCGAGCUCUUCCUGCAGAGUUCCUAUCAGACUGAGAUUGGGCAGACCCUGGACCUCAUCACAGCCCCCCAGGGCAAUGUGAAUCUCGGCAGAUUCACUGAAAAGAGGUACAAAUCUAUUGUCAAGUACAAGACAGCUUUCUACUCCUUCUACCUUACUGUAGCUGCAGCCAUGUACAUGGCAAGAAGGAGCAUACCAAUGCCAAGAAGAUCCUGCUGGAGAUGGGAGAGUUCUUUCAGAUUCAGGAUGAUUACCUUGACCUCUUUGGGGAUCCCAGUGUGACUGGCAAAGUUGGCACUGACAUCCAGGACAACAAAUGCAGUUGGCUGGUGGUCCAGUGUCUGUAACGGUCCACUCCGGAACAGCGCCAGAUCCUGAAGGAAAAUUACAGGCAGAAGGAGGCUGAGCAGGUGGCCCAGGUGAAGGCAUUAUAUGAGGAGCUGGAUCUGCUGGCCAUGUUCUCGCAGUAUGAGGAAGACAGUUACAACCACAUUAUGGCUCUGAUUGAACAGUACGCAGCACCCCUGCCCCCAGCCAUCUUUCUGGGGCUUGCGCACAAAAUCUCCGAGAGGAAAAAGUGACAUAGAGACUGCAAGAGUGGGGAGAGGAGGCUCUCAAUAAAUAAAUUAUUGUGUAAGAGAAAAAGAUAUGUAGGGUGUACUACAAACUUAGCAGCUUAAAACAAGGCGCAUUCAUUAUCUCGGUUCCCCUGGCAGAGUGUUCAAGCACCUCUUAGCUGGGUCCUUGCUCAGGACCUGACAAGGCUGCAAUCAAGAUGUCGGGCAGCCUGCAUCCUCAUCUGGUGGCUUGACUGGAGAACCAUCCCAGUUUCAUUCAGAUUGUGGCAGCUUCAUUUCCUUGUGGUUGUUGGAGUGAGGUCCUAAAGAUUCUGGAGGCCUUCCAUGUUCCUGCCUUAGGCUCAGUUUAUACCACAGAAGCCUAAUUCCUAGAAGGUCUGAACCUGGUUUAAAUGUCAGGCCCAUUUGAUUAUUUCAAAGUCAGCUGAUUAGGGAAUUUAAUUAUAUCUUCAAACUCCUUUUACAUUUGCCAUCUGACAUAAUUGCAGGAGUGACAGCCCAUCACUUUCUUCACAUUCUUUGGAUGUAAUCACAGGUUCUGCUCUCAGAAGGAGGGGAUUACUCACUAGUGUUACUCAUUGGCGGUCACUUGUGGGCGUGUCUGCCACAGUGAGUCCAUGUGGAUAGAAAUAGUCUAAUAAAGAAAAGAUAAAAAAGAUACCUCUUCUCACAAUGGAAUUCCAGUAACUAAAUGUGGAAGAAAAAAAGGAAACAGAAUCACCGGUAGCCGAUAACACUGUAAUAAAUGUAAACAAGGUUUUCUAUAGGAUGCUGAAAUUCAUGCAGGUUUGAGGAGGCAUAGGAUUUGCAUAGUCUCAAAUUACCGUCCCAAAAAUACUUACCAACUACAAAGGGAAAACGGAUUGUACUGAAAAGGGUAUGACAUUUUUGUGGUAUACUUCCUCAAAUGCAAAACCUCAUUUUAGUGAUGAAAAAAUAAUAUCAGAGCAAACCAAAUUUAGGCACAUUCUGUAAAAUAACCGAUCGGUACUCUUCAAAGAGGGCAAGGUCACAAAAUAAAAGGAGGGACUGAGGUGCUUACCGACUGGAGGAGGCUAACAGGAAGUCACUAAAUGCAAUGUGGAAUGAUCCCAGAAAAAAGACAUGGCGCAGAAAAAUGGGUACAAUUCAAAUGAGGUCUUUAGGUAAGUUUCUCUUCUAGAUAAUUGCAUUAUGGUUACGUAAGAUGUUAGCAUUGGAGGAAGUGGGCUAAAGGAGGUAAGGGAACUCCCUGCACUAUUUUUGCAAGUUUUCCCUAAGUCUAAAAUUAAUUAAAAAUAGAAGUAUGGGUUUUGUUGUUGUUGUUGUUGUUGUUGUUGUUUUUGAGACGGAGUUUCGCUCUUGUUACCCAGGCUGGAGUGCAAUGGUGCGAUCUCGGCUCACUGUAACCUCCGCCUCCUGGGUUCAGGCGAUUCUCCUGCCUCAGCCUCCUGAGUAGCUGGGAUUACAGGCACGUGCCAUCAUGCCCAGCUAAUUUUUUGUAUCUUUAGUAGAGACAAGGUUUCACCAUGUUGACCAGGAUGGUCUUGAUCUCUUGACCUCGUGAGCCACCGCGCCCGGCCCAAAAGUAUAUUUUUAAAAAAAUUAUAGCAUAGACUCAGGCUGAUAAUUUUCUGUCUGUAAAAGUAGAAAUUCCGGUGACAGUCCUGCGCCAGAAUUUUGCACAUUGUUGUAUAUGUGGUCGUUGGAGAAUACGUAAGUGUACAAUGGUGGAACGUGUUCUGAUUCAUAGUAUACUUGUAUUUUUUCCAUGGUGCUUAUGUCAUAAUAGACAUGGCUGAGGAAAGCACACACUAUUUUAAUGUUAAAGUGCCUUAGUAAGGUUGGUUGGUUCACUGCCUGACAGCAUUCUCUUUAAAAAUUAUUUCUACACUUGGUUUGAAAGGUUUUACUUGUGACUGACACAUGUCAUAUAAAAAUCCUUAGUUCUGAAGGUGUUUGCUGAAUUUGGUUGGUUUGGAGGGCUCGGAAUUUUCUUCUUAUAUGGGCCGUGGUCACAAAUGAGUCUUCUGUAUCACUUUCUCAAACGCAUUUUCUGAAUUGUCAUCUGCUCUGACAAUGCUUAAACUACGCCUGUGGAAGAUCAAGUUGUUUCUUAGUAACUAGAGUUACUAAAUCCUAGUAACUAUGACUUAGUAGUUAUGAAACGAUGGAUAGAAAAAUAGGGAGUAAAGGAAAAUGAAUGAGAUGGUUUGGGUGAAUCUGUAUCAUGAUAAAGCUUUUGUUUCUCUAACAGAAUGAAUUUAAUAUGUGAAUAUUCUCAUUGCCGUAAAGGGACAUCUGUGUUAGAAUUCCACCACACAACCAGCAGUGCUGCUUGGCUGUGGGUAUUGGAUGAAUCAUGGGAUGCAUUUCUUACAGCCUUUUUUAUUUCUACUUCAGAUAUUGUGCAUAAGAGCAGUGCCUCGGGCGUGCACCAUCUGAGCCACGGUGCCCUGUGUUCACAUAGAAUUACUGUUUGUUUUUACUGUCAUGAGUCUAUGAAUCCAGCCUGUCAUGCAGAAGUGAUCCUUAUAAUGUAAGCACUUACUGUCUUGCUGCAGCUGAUUCCCCAGUGACAUUUUAAAAAGUCAGUAUUUGGCUGCAGAGUGCUUUAAAUUUCUAAAUGGACUAUAGAUCGGAAGCCUUAGGGUAUUUCAUAGGAAGCACGUGGCCCUGCAGUGAACACACAGCAACUUCUGUAGCUGUAGCCAAGUUGGUGACCAGUAUUUACCCUUGAAGUUGUUUUGGUUCAGAACUUUAAGUGUUUUUUAGUCUACAUUUAAUUAUUUGGUACUAUACUAAUUUACUCCAAAUGUCUGAAACGAAAUGGAUACUUAAUGAAGUCUAUAAUGUUUGUCCAGGUCUUUUAUUCUACUAGGUAUGGUUCUAAUGUGAAAAGCGGCUUCUGGUGGUGACACAGUGCACAUUUCUCAGCGUCUGUAAAUUCAGGUCUUUGGUUUUCACUUAAUCUGAAAAUGAGAGUAGCAGUUAAACACUCAGGAACACUCAGAAAUACAUUAACAAGUUUUACAUUCUUCUCUAAAAGAACCCUAAGCCCCUGAAAACAAUCAUUUUAUAGCAAUAUUUUAACAGCUAUUUAUAUCUGUUACCUAAACUGAAAAUCCUAUUCCUGCCCCUCUGGCUGUCACAGAUACACCAUGAUGAGACUUAGUAAAGAGCAAUAGUCCCGAGAGAUUCCGGGACUGUGUCCUGCCUGGCUUACAGAACCACAGACCCAGCUUAUAGAACCACAAGAGGGUUGGUUAUUGCACGUCAUAAAAGACCAGGCUUUGUAUUCAGUGUGUCCUGGCCUCCAUGGGGGUGAAUUGGCAGUGAUCUUUAGGACACUGAUUGUUUUCUCUAUUCUUUGUGAUUCUUUUGAAUCUUCACAUGACUGUGAAGCAGUGAGUCUGAUGGGGUCAGAGCAGUUAGCCUGAUCCAGCAGGGUCUCAGACCAGAGGACUAUGCCUUGUGUGAGUGUAUUUGUGUUUCCAGUUUACUGGAGCAAAGCGGGAGGGUAGAAGAGAAAAUAGCAUGGUUCUCAUGUCAUGAGAGCUAGUGCCUUGAGGACUGUGCUAAAUUCAACUGUCUUUUUCAUUCCAUUAUAAUUUUAGGCUUAAAAAUGCAUCUAAACCUCUGAGCCAAAACGUGAGUUGAGAUCAUUAGCUACCUCCGAUUUUUAAAUUUCAAAAUCUUGUCUCCUGUCUUCACAUGACUCAUUAGCUCUCUUUUAUCAAUAUAGUAAGAAGUAUCUUCCUUUAAAUAAUAUUCCCAGAUUGUGAUUUAUUGUUUGUUAUGCUAAGAGAGAGAUUGAAGGAAUACAGGUAAGAUUCCUGUCUUAAGGAGCUUACAGAGUAUCUGGAAAAGACAAACGGAGCAUACAUUUAAAACUGGAAAUUAAAUAGAUACGAUUGCUGUGUGAGCAAUAAAGAUCAAAAGAGAUGCAGAAUAAUAGUCCCUUCUUUACUGAUAUAUACUACAUUUUAUAGUAUGGUUUUUGUUUCUUAAUGGAAGUCUUCUAAAUUUAUGCUAACUCUCUGAUUGACUAAUGAUGAUUUUUUUAGAAGUCUGUUGCUAUUACUGUAUUGAUUGGAUGUUACCAUGAGUAAUUUUCAGCCUCUCUUCAUGCCUGCUCACUUGGAGACUCAUGUAAGAUUCAGGAGGAUGAGUUUGGCCCAACUGGCCUGCAUUUUCUUAUAUGCAUUGAAGAAAUGUGUGUCAAGAAAUUUCAGCCGCAGAUUGAUUCGUAUGAGUUCAGGAACUCAUUCAGUAACAACUUUUCAGCAAGUGUUUCGCUAAAUAUGUUUAUUCAUGUUUUCUCUUUGUUUCACAGGUAAAAGAUGAACUAUUACACUCUGAGCUAUGUCUUUUUUUAUUGGGGCUAUAUCUUUUAUGAUCAUAAAAAUUGAAUGUAGCUGUGUCUUGGUUUUGCAUGACUGCACUAUUAAUGCAAAGGGUUCCCCCAUCCCCACUUCUCCUCCUGUGU